This 248-nucleotide unclassified non-coding RNA is filed under the name uncultured fungus. RNAcentral's name for it is "sequence contains ITS1". Lineage: Eukaryota; Fungi. The record is from RNAcentral.
AUCAGAAUGCGCCCGAGAUCGUGAGUUGUGACAAUAGUCGAGCACGGUUGUCACGCCACCGUGCAGCAUUCCGAGAAGGCUUAGGAGCGUCCCUACGUAGAGGUCGUGGGGUCUGUAGAACGGCGCGAGCACACCGUGUGUUGUCUUUGCAUAAUCAUCGGCGUCACCAUCCGAAACCAGCCGGCGAAAUUGGUCUUGCCAGCAGUGCCGAUGGGAGUCGAUCAUCCCUGGCAUGAGAAUCAUCCCGC